AUAGCAUGAAGUCAAACAAGAGAACCCGCUGAAUUUAAGCAUAUAAGUAGGCGGAGGAAAAGAAACUAAACAGGAUUCCCUUAGUAAUGGCGAACGAACAGGGAUAAGCUCAGGUUGGAAACCAGGGCCCUGGUCCUGGGUUGUAGCCUGCAGACGUAGCGCUAUCGGCGGCUUGAGCGAAAGCCUCUUGGAACAGAGCGUGUGCCCAGGUGAGAAUCCUGUGUUUCGCUUGAAGUCCGCCGUGUACGGUGCUUGCUCUCAAAGUCACGCUCCUCGGAAUUGGAGCGUAAAUCAGGUGGUAGAUUUCAUCUAAAGCCAAAUACAGACCUGAGACCGAUGAGGGAAAGAUGAAAAGGACUUUGGAAAGAGAGUUAAAAGUGCUUGAAAUCGCUGAAAGGGAAGCGAAUGGAACCACAUGCUUGCUGAGAUUGCUGCCAAUGCUUGUGAGCCCUGGUCAUUAAAGCGCAAGCUUCUUGUCUAGGAGUGAGUUGGCAUUUGUAGUGCUUCUUAGCAUGCG
This 517-nucleotide ribosomal RNA is filed under the name Durusdinium sp. D1a. Its description in RNAcentral is "eukaryotic LSU rRNA". It matches the Rfam family "Eukaryotic large subunit ribosomal RNA", at positions 1 to 540 of the family's 3401-position model. The record is from RNAcentral. Lineage: Eukaryota; Dinophyceae; Suessiales; Symbiodiniaceae.